CAGCACCUCAAGUGGUCAGGAUGAUUAUUGGGCCUAAAGCAUCCGUAGCCGGCUCUGUAAGUUUUCGGUUAAAUCUGUACGCUCAACGUGCAGGCUGCCGGGAAUACUGCAGAGCUAGGGAGUGGGAGAGGUAGACGGUACUCGGUAGGAAGGGGUAAAAUCCUUUGAUCUAUUGAUGACCACCUGUGGCGAAGGCGGUCUACCAGAACACGUCCGACGGUGAGGGAUGAAAGCUGGGGGAGCAAACCGGAUUAGAUACCCGAGUAGUCC
Molecule: ribosomal RNA, 270 nt
Filed under: uncultured archaeon
Lineage: Archaea
Description: partial 16S ribosomal RNA
Rfam family: Archaeal small subunit ribosomal RNA
Source: RNAcentral